Molecule: long non-coding RNA, 2309 nt
Filed under: Citrus sinensis (sweet orange)
Lineage: Eukaryota; Viridiplantae; Streptophyta; Magnoliopsida; Sapindales; Rutaceae
Description: long non-coding RNA (CSIN_LNC001959)
Source: RNAcentral
AUGUUUUUCCUGUUGAAAACAUUGAUCAAAAAUACCAUUUUCAUUCUCUAAAACAAGUGUGUAAGAGACACCAAUUGAUUAAUUUUCUUUGACAACAACAUCCCGCGAUCACUUCAAUCGUUCCUUCAUUGAUCAUACUCUUUUAUCGAACCAAGUUAGUGGUUCUUGUCUUUGCACGUUUGCAUGUGUUGGUCCACCGGGAUGCGACGGCCCGUGUUGGAAUUUUUCACUACUUCUCUCCUGUGUAUGUCCACAGUCACCUUCAAUGGGCCUCAUGUAGAAAGCGACGGUGGAUUCGCUUUGCAAAGCACUGGACUUUUAUGAUCCUUCUGUUUUCUUCAUCCGGCCCACACCAUCCUGCUGUCGGAAGUCCCAGAACAAAAGAAAGACAGAAGCCCAGAAACAAAACUUAUGUGAUUGGUAUUUUACCUAGAGGCUGGAAAUGCUUCUUUGUUAUUUUUGCAAAUUAUUGAAAAGGGGGAAAAAAAAAUUGAUUCUGUAGCAUUAUGUUUUAUGUGUAUCAAGUAAUGGUUUAAAUUGGAAUAAAACUAAUGUCAAAAUGCGUAAAAACUUUGAUGGAAGUAAAAUUGGAAAACGAUCAAAACUCCUAAAAUCUCAAUAGAGCUUUGCAGACGCUUUAAGACAUCAUAAUACAUAUUAUUGGGGAAAAAAAUUUAAAAUUCUGGCCUUUAAUUUAAAGCCAGCAUUACAUUUAUGAAAAGAUAAUCCAGAAUAUGGCCAAUGAUAGUCAUUUUAUUAACUCCAAUGUUUUUAUCUAAUUUCUUAGCUUUAAAUUAAAAGUGACCUUAUAACAAUAACCUUACAGCCACACCUACUGGUGGUUGUAAAUAGUGAUUUUAUUUCACUUUUGAAUUGAGAAAACGAGACAAUAAAUAUUAUUGCAUCACUGCAUGUGCUGUCUCACAAGCAUCACCAUGCGCUUGUAAACCCAUCGCAUAGAAGUCUUCUCUUGAAAUGAGUUUCUGAAGACUUUCAUCCACAUCAUAAGAAUUGCACGUCCAGAGGAAAAUGGUAUAAUUAGAUAGGUAACAGGAACACACAGACAUGUAUAUUAUAUGAUUAUUAAGCUCCGCUAAGAAUCGGAAAACUCGAAAAGAUUGCAUGGACAGCCAGUCCCUUCCAUUUGCUGCUUUAUUUUCUACCUAUUCAUCUCCAUAUAUGCUAUAACAAACUAUACAUGUCACUUCCACUCACUACCACUGCAAAAUAUGCAGAUUUUGGUGAAGAUAUAUCUUCAAAAAAAUAACACUGUUGGUCGGCUCCUUAUGGUGAAAGCAAGAAAUCGUCAAGGGUUUCAAGUUCAAGGGAUACAUUUAACUGAGGGUCAGAAAGGUGGGCUGCAAGGUAGAUUGAAACAAAAACAAAAAUAAAAAUAGUGGAUAUUGGUAUGUAUGGUGCUAGCUAGUUGUUUCAACUGGUGCGACUUCUUGCUGUAGUGUAUAAAUUUUAAGUUAAUUAAUUCAAGGAGAACAUUUUAGUGAGAUUAUUUUGGUCUUUGGAUGUUGCCCAUGUGCAUAUUUAUGUUAAAAAAAAAUAGACAAAUUAGUCCUACAUUAAUUAAAUCACGCUUAUUGUAUUACUGUUUGAUGAUUAUAUUAUUUCCAAUAUUGUAUUAAAAAAAUAUCUCUGUCAUUAUACAUAUAAAAAUAAAAAUACAUAUGAAUCAUCUAUGUUUCUUCCAACUUAACAUAUCAUGAUGACCUUUUAACUACUAAAUUUGGUGGUGCUACUUUCUAUAUAACUAUUUAAGUAAUCAAUAAGAAAUUUGAAAAAUACACGAUAAACUUAAAUUAGAAAACAAGAUAUCUCUCAUUGGUAUAGAAAACAAGAUAUCUCUCAUUGGUAUACUUUUUUUUUUUUUGGUUAAAUGAAAGGCUUGCCUUCUUUUCAAGUUUCUGUACUCUCACCAAUUUCUAGCCGCCAUUACAACCAAAAUCGCUUCCUCACUUCCAUCAGUCAUAGUUGAUAUUUCUUUGGCAUAAUCGAAAACUCUAUUUUAGCAAAGUAAAUAAUAAUGACCGGAUCCGGAUCAUGAACGGCACUGAUGAUCGAAAACUCUAUAAUAUACAUAUAGGAAUUUCGUGCCUUUAUUAGGAAAAAUAAGUCUGGAGAGUCCAACUCAAGACAGCUCAACUCCCACUUGUAAGAAAAAUGUGUAAAAAUUUAUGAUAAGGUGAUAUGACGACGAUGAGGAGGAGGAUUAGGAUGAGGAUGAGGAUGAUGACUAGUGGGGGUCAAAAAGUUUUUCGGAGCAUGACAAAGUAUUGUUAAAGGAUGGUCAAUUGGUC